This 327-nucleotide unclassified non-coding RNA is filed under the name soil metagenome. RNAcentral's name for it is "partial contains 5.8S ribosomal RNA, internal transcribed spacer 2, and large subunit ribosomal RNA". The stretch from base 1 to 120 matches the Rfam family "5.8S ribosomal RNA", at positions 35 to 154 of the family's 154-position model. The record is from RNAcentral.
GAUGAAGAACGUAGCGAAAUGCGAUAAGUAAUGUGAAUUGCAGAAUUCAGUGAAUCAUCGAAUCUUUGAACGCACAUUGCGCCCCUUGGUAUUCCGAGGGGCAUGCCUGUUCGAGCGUCAUUAUAACCCUCAAGCUCAGCUUGGUGUUGGGGCCUGCUGCAGUGGCAGCCCUUAAAAUCAGUGGCGGCGCCAUCUGGCUCUAAGCGUAGUAAUUCUUCUCGCUAUGGAGUCCUGGUGGAUGCUUGCCAUCAACCCCCAAUUUUUCUAUGGUUGACCUCGGAUCAGGUAGGGAUACCCGCUGAACUUAAGCAUAUCAUAAGCGGAGGA